AACCCCUCUGCUACAAAUUAAAGGAACUACAAAAAUCACUCCUGAACCCCCCCCCCCAACAACUUGAAGAAAGCACACCCACGCUUCCCCCAACUCCAUCUAAAAGCUGAAGAAGACGCUGCUGCGCUGAUGAUGAUGGCACGAACAGCAUCGUAUGUUCCUAAAACAGAUCCAAUGCCAUCAUUCAACCUGGGCUUCACUGAUUCAAGCCAAGAAAAAGCAGCAACGCAGGAGGGAGCGUCAACACAGGAGGCAGAUAGGGCAAAAACUCCAAAAACUGCAAAUUUGCUGGAACAACUAGAGGAUUUGGUACAAAAAAUAGCAAGCAGUGCGGCGAAAGAAGAAAGUAAAAGUCCACAAAUUCAAAAGGAGACUGGCGGAGAAAGUUCUGGGAAGUUUGAAACU
Non-coding RNA from Arachis ipaensis, 405 nucleotides. The record is from RefSeq and is a predicted model, not a curated record. NCBI's taxonomy places the organism in Eukaryota, Viridiplantae, Streptophyta, Magnoliopsida, Fabales, Fabaceae.